ACUCCCUUAGUAUAAC
Molecule: transfer RNA, 16 nt
Filed under: Prosciurillus murinus (Celebes dwarf squirrel)
Lineage: Eukaryota; Metazoa; Chordata; Mammalia; Rodentia; Sciuridae
Description: partial tRNA-Gly
Source: RNAcentral